This 497-nucleotide ribosomal RNA is filed under the name uncultured bacterium. RNAcentral describes it as "partial 16S ribosomal RNA". It matches the Rfam family "Bacterial small subunit ribosomal RNA", at positions 28 to 507 of the family's 1533-position model. The record is from RNAcentral.
GAUGAACGCUGGCGGCGUGCCUAAUACAUGCAAGUCGAGCGAACAGACGAGGAGCUUGCGCCUCUGACGUUGGCGGCGGACGGGUGAGUAACACGUGGAUAACCUACCUAUAAGACUGGGGUAACUUCGGGAAACCGGGGCUAAUACCGGAUAAUAUAUUGAACCGCAUGGUGCAAUAGUUAAAGACGGUUUUGCUGUCACUUAUAGAUGAAUCCGCGCCGCAUUAACUAGUUGGUAAGGUAACGGCUUACCAAGGCAACGAGGCUUAGCCGCCCUCAGAGGGUCAUCGGCCAGCCUGGCACUGAGAAACGUCCCAGACUCCUACGGGAGGCAGCAGUAGGGAAUCCUCCGGAAUGGGGGAAAGCGGGACGGAGCAACGCCGCGUGAGUGAUGAAGGUCUUCGGAUCGGAAAACUCUGUUAGUAGGGAAGAAGAAAUGCGUAAGUAACUAUGCACGUAUUGACGGUACCUAAUCAGAAAGCCACGGCUAACUACGUG